Molecule: unclassified non-coding RNA, 26 nt
Filed under: Mus musculus (house mouse)
Lineage: Eukaryota; Metazoa; Chordata; Mammalia; Rodentia; Muridae
Description: oocyte_clustered_small_RNA1096
Source: RNAcentral
UAUAAGGUGAUGUUUAAUAGAGUGCA